Molecule: ribosomal RNA, 432 nt
Filed under: Streptococcus constellatus
Lineage: Bacteria; Bacillati; Bacillota; Bacilli; Lactobacillales; Streptococcaceae
Description: bacterial SSU rRNA
Rfam family: Bacterial small subunit ribosomal RNA
Source: RNAcentral
GACGAACGCUGGCGGCGUGCUUAAUACAUGCAAGUAGAACGCACAGGAUGCACCGUAGUUUACUACACCGUAUUCUGUGAGUUGCGAACGGGUGAGUAACGCGUAGGUAACCUGCCUGGUAGCGGGGGAUAACUAUUGGAAACGAUAGCUAAUACCGCAUAAGAACAUUUACUGCAUGGUAGAUGUUUAAAAGGUGCAAGAGCAUCACUACCAAAUGGACCUGCGUUGUAUUAGCUAGUUGGUGAGGUAACGGCUCACCAAGGCAACGAUACAUAGCCGACCUGAGAGGGUGAUCGGCCACACUGGGACUGAGACACGGCCCAGACUCCUACGGGAGGCAGCAGUAGGGAAUCUUUCGGCAAUGGGGGGAAACCCCUGACCGAGCAAACGCCGCGUGAGUGAAGAAGGUUUUUCGGAUUCGUAAAAGCUUCU